Molecule: ribosomal RNA, 545 nt
Filed under: uncultured Emiliania
Lineage: Eukaryota; Haptophyta; Isochrysidales; Noelaerhabdaceae
Description: bacterial SSU rRNA
Rfam family: Bacterial small subunit ribosomal RNA
Source: RNAcentral
CUUUAUGCUUUAGUGGCGAACGGGUGCGUAAUACGUGAGAAUCUGCCCUUAGGAGGAGAAUAACUUCUGGAAACGGUUGCUAAGUCUCCAUAUGCCGAGAGGUAAAAUAGUUUACACUGCCUAGGGAUGAGCUCACGCCUGAUUAGCUUGUUGGUAAGGUAAUGGCUUACCAAGGCCACGAUCAGUAGCUGGUUUGAGAGAACGAUCAGCCACACUGGGACUGAGACACGGCCCAGACUCCUCCGGGAGGCAGCAGUGAGGAAUUUUCCGCAAUGGGCGAAAGCCUGACGGAGCAAUACCGCGUGAGGGAUGAAGGAUUUUGGUCUGUAAACCUCUUUUCUCAAGAAAGAAGUUCUGACGGUACUUGAGGAAUAAGCAUCGGCUAACUCCGUGCCAGCAGCCGCGGUAAUACGGGGGAUGCAAGCGUUAUCCGGAUUUAUUGGGCGUAAAGCGCCUGUAGGUUGUUUAAUAAGUCUGUUGUUAAAGACUAGGGCUUAACCCUAGGAAAGCAAUGGAAACUACUAGACUUGAGUAUGAUAGGGGUA